GUAAUACAGUUGUCUGUCUGCUUGUUCAUGUUGUCAGAGGUGAAAGACCUCCUGUUCCAUUUUAGAAACUCUAUUCAAAAAGAAAAUAUGUCUAGAAGAUAUUGUUUAUAGUUACUCCACAAAUAUUAAGGAGUUCUUGAAAACCAGUGUCAUCUGCCUCUGAAAAUAAAGAUCAAUAGAUGAAAUUUUGAAUGUAUACUUGGAAAGCUUGAAAUGGCUCUGGGCUAGCGAUAUUGAACAUUUCUUCAUGUGUCUCUGGAUCUUCCGUAUGUCUUCCUUGGUUGUAGAUACCUGAAUUUCUUUGUAAGCCAAGUGUUGAACACAGUGAAGCUGCUAUGAACAUGGACCCUGAGUGCUUAUGUAGAGGGCAGCUGUUUUCUGAACCUGAACAUCCAUGGUAGGCUUAUCAGUUUUAUCAUCCCUGGGAGCUGUGAAGUAUGUCGGAGGACAGAAGGAAGAUGGAGAGCAAAAAAGUUUGAAAUUGUGAAGAGGUGAUACUGAGGACUGCAACCAAAGACCCUGCAUAGCAUUUCAUCUUAGCUAUGGAUAAUGAUUCAGAAAAGUUAUAAUGGCAGUAUUAAUGAUUUAUAACCAUAAGCAUGGAAGAUAUCCUGAGGAAUAUGAGGAGUCUGAAGUUGAGAGGAAAAUGAAAAGCAGCAUUCAGCUGACUUUAAACAAAUAUACCGAAGAAUGUUACACUCACUUUAUCCCCUCACAUGAGAAGUCUCAUUGAUUAGUGAUUUAUUUUUUGAACUAUGUGAGCAAAUAUUUGGCCAUCCAUCUGUCAGAAAUAUUAUAGAGGACACCACAAUGGACCAGCAGAGUUUUCAUAUGUUUGACAGCAGCCUAUGACAACAAAUUGAGACAGCACAACAAAACUGAUCCUAUCGACAGGAUAACAUGAGUCAAAGAUAUACAGAUAUUGAGAAAUUCAGAAACUGGGGCAUAGAAAAAAUAAACACCAGAAUUUCCUAGAAAUGUCAGGAUUCUGUGUAUAAUUGUUAAAAAUACAUAUAUUAGUAUAUAAAGUUAACUAAUUAUUUUAUAGAUUUGGCUAUACCCAGAACUUUUAAUGCCAUUUUGUAAAUAAUUUGUUAUUUCUGUUUUUUUUCCUCUGAAUAAGGGCAUUUAAAAAAUUGACAAUGAUUUUCCCUUUUCAAAAAUUUCUGUAAAGAAAUUUCAGGGAAAUGGGGACUUUUUUAGAAAUGCAUAUGAAUAAAAUGACUUAAGUGUAUAUACAAAAAUCCAAAGUAACUUAAAGACAUUAAAAAACCCAUGAAAUUGUCCAGAAUUGUAUUUAGGGCAAAAAUUAUAGAUUAUAUAUAUAUAUUCAUUCAAAAUUUCCAAAAUUACACAUCUUUGUGUUAUUUAGAAUAUUCUAUAAUUUAAAUAAAUGUCUUUGUCAAAUUUCCCUAACUUUGAAAAAAAUCUAACACAUAAUAGCUUAGUAAUAGAAGAAAUUGCUAGGAACAAAUAUCACAUGAACAAAGAUGUAAAACUUUAGAACAAAAUAUUAAUCAAUCAAAUCUAAGCAUUUAUGAAAAUCCUAAGUUAAAAAACAGAAAGGAGAGUUGACACAUGGAUUUGAUUAUCAUUUGUAGUCUCUCUUCACAAGGUCCCCACUCUGAUAUAAAGAAAGAAUAAUGAGAGAAAGAAGGGACUACUACCCUCUGCAACAACAUGGAUGGAACUGGAAAGCAUUAUGCUGAGUGAAAUAAGCCAGGCAUUGAAAGACAAAUACCAUAUGAUCUCACCUUUAACAGGAAGCUAAACAACAAAACAGACAGGCAAGCAAAAUAAAAAUAAAUACACUGAAAUAGAGAACAAGGGGACAAUGACCAGAGGGGA
Long non-coding RNA from Artibeus jamaicensis (Jamaican fruit-eating bat), 1848 nucleotides. RefSeq lists it as uncharacterized. The record is from RefSeq and is a predicted model, not a curated record. The transcript has 5 exons. NCBI's taxonomy places the organism in Eukaryota, Metazoa, Chordata, Mammalia, Chiroptera, Phyllostomidae.